GCCCGGUGCCGCGGCCUGUGCCUAUAGUCCCAGCUACUCGGGAGGCUGAGGUGGGUGGAUCGCUUGAGCCCAGGAGUUCUGGGCUGCAGUGCGCUAUGCCGAUCAGGUGUCCGCACUAAGUUUGGCAUCAAUAUGGUGACCUCCCGGGAGCGGGGGACCACCAGGUUGCCUAAGGAGGGGUGAACAGGCCCAGGUCAGAAGCGGAGCAGGUCAAAACUCCCGUGCUGAUCAGUAGUGAGAUCGCGCCUGUGAAUAGCCACUGCACUCCAGCCUGGGCAGCAUAGCGAGACCCCGUCUCU
RNAcentral lists this signal recognition particle RNA (299 nucleotides) under Aotus nancymaae (Ma's night monkey). Its description in RNAcentral is "Metazoan signal recognition particle RNA (ENSANAG00000007897.1)". It matches the Rfam family "Metazoan signal recognition particle RNA". From Rfam's summary of the family: The signal recognition particle (SRP) is a universally conserved ribonucleoprotein. It is involved in the co-translational targeting of proteins to membranes. The eukaryotic SRP consists of a 300-nucleotide 7S RNA and six proteins: SRPs 72, 68, 54, 19, 14, and 9. Lineage: Eukaryota; Metazoa; Chordata; Mammalia; Primates; Aotidae. The record is from RNAcentral.